AUUCCAAAAUGUGUAUGGCAUAACGUUUUGCUUCCUCUAUCUGAUUCAUGGGAGGCCAAAACCAACGUUGCAAGUUUAUAAUACCUUCUUUUUCUUUAACUCCAGAAGAUGUUUUAUUAGUAACUUCGCUUACAUUU
Molecule: small nucleolar RNA, 137 nt
Organism: Raphanus sativus (radish)
Lineage: Eukaryota; Viridiplantae; Streptophyta; Magnoliopsida; Brassicales; Brassicaceae
Source: RefSeq, a predicted model, not a curated record